UGCCAGCCGCCGCGGUAAGACGAACCGUACGAACGUUAAUCGGAAUUACUGGGCGUAAAGCGCGCGUAGGCGGUUUAGUAAGUCGGAUGUGAAAGCCCAGGGCUUAACCCUGGAAUUGCAUUCGAUACUGCUUGACUAGAGUAUGGUAGAGGGAAGUGGAAUUUCAAGUGUAGCGGUGAAAUGCGUAGAUAUUUGAAGGAAUAUCUAAAGCGAAGGCAAUUUUCUGGUUUGAACCUGACACUGAGGUGCGAAAGCGUGGGGAGCAAACAGGAUUAGAUA
RNAcentral lists this ribosomal RNA (279 nucleotides) under uncultured bacterium. Its description in RNAcentral is "partial 16S ribosomal RNA". It matches the Rfam family "Bacterial small subunit ribosomal RNA", at positions 506 to 784 of the family's 1533-position model. The record is from RNAcentral.